This 1386-nucleotide long non-coding RNA is filed under the name Fukomys damarensis (Damara mole-rat). RNAcentral's name for it is "lncRNA (ENSFDAG00000022648.1)". The record is from RNAcentral. Lineage: Eukaryota; Metazoa; Chordata; Mammalia; Rodentia; Bathyergidae.
AUGUGUCACCUUGAGGAGCGUCCCAUCAAAGCAAUGGUCGCAUUGACAAGCUGCAAAGAAAAAAAGUUAAACCUUCAGCGACGUGGACCUGCCUGCAGAUGUAUUCUUCCCCUUGAGGAGGGGCAAGGCGAAGGAUCCGUCGUGCCCUCCUGCCUCCGACCUCCCCCCGGUUCCAGGGCCGCUCCCUGCUUCUGGGUUGCGGGGCGCCGCCUAGGCCCGCGCGCGGGGCAACCUGGAGAAGCUGCACCCGUGCGCGAUGAGGACAAGGGCACGCGCGCCAGAUGGACGCCCUUGGGUCAGGCGCCACACGGACCUGGCCUCCCAGGGCCUCUGCGACCAGACCCAAGCCCAAGGCGAGGACCAGGAGCCAGAGAGAUACAAGCGGGAAGAAACAAACUGGAGGAGGAACAAGUAGAAAAGGCUUUUGGAGACGAAUGCGGGCUGGUGGAAGGUCGCAGGUGCAGACCUUGGCAGUGGAGUCCCAGCCUCCACCUCGACGGAGGAUUUGGCAGAGGCCGGCUAGGGCUGAGGAGUUCAGGACCUUCCAUCACCUCCACCCCACUUCUGCCCUGUGACCCAGGGGCCAAGCCCCUCGCUCCCCAGGCUGCCUGGAAGUGGGCUUCACCUAUGGACUUCUUCAGUGAAAUGUCCUGCUCAGCCGCUGAAGCCACGGCGCACACCGCCCAAAUAUUUGCUCUGACCUCACCUGAACGCAGGCCAACAUCUCCCAGUAUCCCCACCCAGAGACUCCAUCUAGUUCAAAUACUAAACGUGGGACGGAGAAGUCUGUGGUGGCUCACGGGUCCAGCCUCCCCUCUGGCGGCCCCCUCCGCCCACAUCUCCGGCCCGUGGGGCAGGGGCAUCUUUGACACCUCCGAGAAGAAGCUGCUUGUGAACGAAAAUCUCUCACAGUAUAGCCUCGUCAGCUUUGGAAAAAAGAAACAAAGCCGACCCCUGGUGGAAGAAAAUGAAAGUUUAAGAAUUUUAAAGUUUAGGGAUUUCAUAGCCUUAGUUAGGUCUGUAAGAGGGAGCAGAGAAGAAAGGAGGAGAAAGAGGAAAAGGAUAACUGGAGAACUGGAAGAGGCAGAGAACAGGAGAGGCCACACAGCAGGUGGAAUUGAGGGAAACAGCUGGGGAAAAUGAGACCCAGGGAGAAUGUUUCUUUAGGACCUUGACUUGAACAUGCUUUGGUCAUCCUGCGGUCUGGCCAUCCUGGGGCCAGGCAGGGAGGUCUGAUUUCCCUUCUCCCCAGGGCAGGUCUGGGAGCUCUGUGAUCAUGAGAACAGGUGGAGGACACUGGCUGCUGAUUCUUUGCCUGUCCCAGAGAGCAUCCACAUGCCAGAACCGUCCCUGUCUUUCCUCUGAACAAACCUCUGCCCUCACCAU